Molecule: ribosomal RNA, 497 nt
Filed under: uncultured bacterium
Lineage: Bacteria
Description: partial 16S ribosomal RNA
Rfam family: Bacterial small subunit ribosomal RNA
Source: RNAcentral
GAUGAACGCUGGCGGCGUGCCUAAUACAUGCAAGUCGAGCGAACAGACGAGGAGCUUGCUCCUCUGACGUUAGCGGCGGACGGGUGAGUAACACGUGGAUAACCUACCUAUAAGACUGGGAUAACUUCGGGAAACCGGAGCUAAUACCGGAUAAUAUAUUGAACCGCAUGGUUCAAUAGUGAAAGACGGUUUUGCUGUCACUUAUAGAUGGAUCCGCGCCGCAUUAGCUAGUUGGUAAGGUAACGGCUUACCAAGGCAACGAUGCGUAGCCGACCUGAGAGGGUGAUCGGCCACACUGGAACUGAGACACGGUCCAGACUCCUACGGGAGGCAGCAGUAGGGAAUCUUCCGCAAUGGGCGAAAGCCUGACGGAGCAACGCCGCGUGAGUGAUGAAGGUCUUCGGAUCGUAAAGCUCUGUUAUUAGGGAAGAACAAAUGUGUAAGUAACUAUGCGCGUCUUGACGGUACCUAAUCAGAAAGCCACGGCUAACUACGUG